This 492-nucleotide ribosomal RNA is filed under the name uncultured bacterium. RNAcentral describes it as "partial 16S ribosomal RNA". It matches the Rfam family "Bacterial small subunit ribosomal RNA", at positions 29 to 507 of the family's 1533-position model. The record is from RNAcentral.
AGUGAACGCUGGCGGUAGGCCUAACACAUGCAAGUCGAACGGCAGCACAGUAAGAGCUUGCUCUUACGGGUGGCGAGUGGCGGACGGGUGAGGAAUACAUCGGAAUCUACUUUUUCGUGGGGGAGAACGUAGGGAAACUUACGCUAAUACCGCAUACGACCUACGGGUGAAAGCGUGGGAUCUUCGGACCUUGCGCGAGUGAAUGAGCCGAUGGCGGAUUAGCUAGUUGGCGGGGUAAAGGCCCACCAAGGCGACGAUCCGUAGCUGGUCUGAGAGGAUGAUCAGCCACACUGGAACUGAGACACGGUCCAGACUCCUACGGGAGGCAGCAGUGGGGAAUAUUGGACAAUGGGCGAAAGCCUGAUCCAGCCAUGCCGCGUGUGUGAAGAAGGUCUUCGGAUUGUAAAGCCCUUUUGUUGGGAAAGAAAAGCAGUAGGUUAAUACCCCGCUGUUCUGACGGUACCAACAGAAUAAGCACCGGCUAACUUCGUG